RNAcentral lists this non-coding RNA (172 nucleotides) under pig gut metagenome. The record is from RNAcentral.
CCGCGAGGUUUGGGAGAGAAGAAGCAAUAGCGAAUCCGUGGCCUAACGAACAGGAAGCCGAAAGGUGUCUGGUACAAGGCGUAUUUGGUGGACAAGGUAGCCAAAAGUACUGAAGUUCCAAAUAGGCAGACGUAAUCCAAAUGCGUAAACCAGUAGGGUGAACGGAGAAGGA